Long non-coding RNA from Rana temporaria (common frog), 2940 nucleotides. RefSeq lists it as uncharacterized. The record is from RefSeq and is a predicted model, not a curated record. NCBI's taxonomy places the organism in Eukaryota, Metazoa, Chordata, Amphibia, Anura, Ranidae. The transcript is spliced from 2 exons.
AAAAAUUAACAUUUCCGGGUGAACCUCCACUUUAAAGUUUUUUUAUUUUUUAUUUUUUUUUUCUUUCAUUUCAGUGUACGUUGCAAAUCAGUGGGAAUGAAACUCAUUGACAUCAGUGAGUCUGUGCACAGCUGAGCACUAUGUAGAGAUGCGGCCCGCUUCAUCUUUUGAUGCAGUGCCGAGUGACCACAUUAACUCUUAUGAAAGUUACCCUGAAGGGAUGUGUUUCACCAUGGGGCGGUACUGUGGAAAACCUCAAGUCAGGUUUGACCCGUGGUUUUAAAUAGGCAACAAGGGCUUUACAGUUUGAUUGUACAAUUACCUGUAUUUAGUUUUAGAAAUAUCUUUAGGUUUGGGAGUGCAAAUAAUUUAUAAAAACCUGAAGAAGCAUGUAAUUUAGAAAUUAUUUAUUUUGACCCAAUCCAGAGUUCUGUGUUGGUACAGUUCAACAUGUUUCCUCUGACAUGCUGUGAGUUUCUGUGGUCAGAAUCUUAGAUGGGAUCAUCUGAUGAUCUUUCACAUAUGUGUGUAGUCAUUCUUUCAGAAGUUACUGUAAAACAUUAUGUGAAAUGAUCAUAUGAGCAAAACAUUUUAUAAUGUGGGUGACUAGCAUUUUCCUUUUGACUGGGUGCAAAUACCUGGUAAAGUGACAAUGUCACUUCACCCACUCACAGCAAGUGACAGGUUCUCUUUUUAAGAAACCCCCCCCCCCUUUUCUGUCCUCCCUGGAGAUGUUUACCUCUACUAUUUUGUAUUUUUAUUCUUUCUCCCCUUCCUUUGUGUUUUUAUUUACACCUGACUAAGGUUUAUAGUUUUUGUACUGUAACCACAAAAAUUAAUAAAAAAGUUUUCAAUUAAAAAAAAAAGAAAGAAAAUCCUCCCAACUACUGAUGCAUACCUUCCUCGUGUUCCCAUCUGCUCUGUUGGUUACGUCAUCCUGUGUAAGCUCCAUUAUUGAGCUUACACAGGGUUACCUUCUGCCUCCUCCUGGUCUUGUGAUAAUGUUUGGGCCUGGCGGCAGUUUUGGGGCCUUGGUUUACUGCAGUGGCAGGAGGAUGCAUAAAAGAUUAUGACUAUCAGUAUAUUUAUUUUUACAAAAGAGAACCUUGUUGCCCCACAAAGUUGAAUACUGUAUAUAAUAUUUUUUUAUUAUCACUUAAAGUUACAUUUUCAGGCCAAACUUUUGACGGUGUACCGCCUUCUUUUUAGUCCAUGCAGUACUUCAAGUACCUUUUUAAAUUGUCAAAGUGAUGGCUUAUUUUGAAAAUAAAACUGGUCAAUCCAUACUGAAAAAAGUAUGGUAAAAAAUAUAUUAGCUGAACAGUUAAUGGCUAUCUCAGUAUAUAAACCUACAAAUUGUGGUCGAAGAAGAGCAGGGCCAAGACCACUAAGAAGGUUUGAGUGGUGGAUGAAGACAGGGUAAAGACCACUAAGAGGGUUUUGGUGGUAGAAGAAGAGCAGGGUCAAGGCCACUUAGAAGGUAUUGGUGGUAGACGAUGAUGACCACGGUCAAGACCACUAGGAGGGUUUUGGUGGUAGAAGAUGACGACCAGGGUCAAGACCACCAGGAAGCUUUUGGCGGUAGAAGAGGAGUAGGGUCAAGACUACUAUGAAGGUUUUGGUGGUAGAAGAGCAGGGUCAAGACUACUAUGAAGGUUUUGGUGGUAGAAGAAGAGCAGGGUCAAGACUACUAUGAAGGUUUUGGUGGUAGAAGAAGACCAGGGUCAAGACUACUAUGAAGGUUUUGGUGGUAGAAGAAGAGCAGGGUCAAGACUACUAUGAAGGUUUUGGUGGUAGAGCAGGGUCAAGACUACUAUAAAGGUUUUGGUGGUAGAGCAGGGUCAAGACUACUAUGAAGGUUUUGGUGGUAGAAGAAGAGCAGGGUCAAGACUACUAUGAAUGUUUUGGUGGUAGAAGAAGAGCAGGGUCAAGACUACUAUGAAUGUUUUGGUGGUAGAAGAAGAGCAGGGUCAAGACUACUAUGAAGGUUUUGGUGGUAGAAGAAGAGCAGGGUCAAGACUACUAUGAAGGUUUUGGUGGUAGAAGAAGAGCAGGGUCAAGACUACUAUGAAGGUUUUGGUGGUAGAAGAAGAGCAGGGUCAAGACUACUAUGAAGGUUUUGGUGGUAGAAGAAGAGCAGGGUCAAGACUACUAUGAAGGUUUUGGUGGUAGAAGAAGAGCAGGGUCAAGACUACUAUGAAGGUUUUGGUGGUAGAAGAAGAGCAGGGUCAAGACCACCAGGAAGGUUUUGGCGGUAGAACAGUAGGGUCAAAACCACCAAGAAGGUUUGGGUGAUAGAGGAGGGCAGGAUUUAGACCAGGGGUCCUCAAACUAUGGCCCUCCAGUUGUUCAGAUACUACAAUUCCCACCAUGCCUAGUUAUAUCUGUAAAUGUCACAGGUUUACAAUGCCUCAUGGGAUGUGUAGUUCUGCAACAGCUGGAGGGCCGUAGUUUGGUGAUCCCUGAUUUAGACCACAAAGGUUUGGGUCGUAUAAGAAGAGCACGGUUGAGACCACUAAAGACCCCUAAGGUUUGGGUGGUAGAGGAAGGCAGAAUCAGGACCACUAGGAAGGUUUGGGUGGUAGAAGAAGAGCAGGGUUAAGACCACUAAGGUUUGGGUCGUAUAAGAGGAGCAGGGUUGAGACCACUAAGGUUUGGGUCCUAUAAGAAGAGCAGGGUUGAGACCACUAAGGUUUGGGUCGUAUAAGAAGAGCACGGUUGAGACCACUAAAGACUACUAAGGUUUGGGUUAUAGAGGAAGGCAGAAUGGGGACCACUAGGAAGGUUUGGGUGGUAGAAGUAGAGCAGAAGAUUUGUGUGGUGGUGGAGGAAGGUAGGUAGGGCCACUACCACUAAGAAGGCAAGGGCAAUAUUGACAUGAAAAUUUUAAACCCACAAGUAAUUUCAGCUGCCUGUAUGUGUGGAUCUGUUGAUUUUUUU